CCUACGGGAGGCAGCAGUGGGGAAUAUUGCACAAUGGGCGAAAGCCUGAUGCAGCCAUACCGCGUGUGUGAAGAAGGCCUUCGGGUUGUAAAGCACUUUCGUUAGGGAAGAAAGGUGCGAGGUUAAUAACCUCGUACUGUGACGGUACCUAAAUAAGAAGCACCGGCUAACUCCGUGCCAGCAGCCGCGGUAAUACGGAGGGUGCAAGCGUUAAUCGGAAUCACUGGGCGUAAAGCGCGCGUAGGCGGCUUGGUAAGUCAGAUGUGAAAGCCCCGGGCUCAACCUGGGAAUUGCAUUUGAUACUGCCAAACUAGAGUGUAGUAGAGGGAAGUGGAAUUCCGAGUGUAGCGGUGAAAUGCGUAGAUAUUCGGAGGAACAUCAGUGGCGAAGGCGACUUCCUGGACUAACACUGACGCUGAGGUGCGAAAGCGUGGGUAGCAAACAGGAUUAGAUACCCUGGUAGUCCACGCCGUAAACGAUGUCUACUAGUCGUUGGGGGGCUUGUCCCUUUAGUGGCGCAGUUAACGCGUUAAGUAGACCGCCUGGGGAGUACGGCCGCAAGGCUAAAACUCAAAGGAAUUGACGG
RNAcentral lists this ribosomal RNA (586 nucleotides) under uncultured Gammaproteobacteria bacterium. RNAcentral describes it as "bacterial SSU rRNA". It matches the Rfam family "Bacterial small subunit ribosomal RNA", at positions 338 to 916 of the family's 1533-position model. The record is from RNAcentral. Lineage: Bacteria; Pseudomonadati; Pseudomonadota; Gammaproteobacteria.